CGCCUGGGGAGUACGGCCGCAAGGUUAAAACUCAAAUGAAUUGACGGGGGCCCGCACAAGCGGUGGAGCAUGUGGUUUAAUUCGAUGCAACGCGAAGAACCUUACCUGGUCUUGACAUCCACAGAAGAAUCCAGAGAUGGAUUUGUGCCUUCGGGAACUGUGAGACAGGUGCUGCAUGGCUGUCGUCAGCUCGUGUUGUGAAAUGUUGGGUUAAGUCCCGCAACGAGCGCAACCCUUAUCCUUUGUUGCCAGCGGUUAGGCCGGGAACUCAAAGGAGACUGCCAGUGAUAAACUGGAGGAAGGUGGGGAUGACGUCAAGUCAUCAUGGCCCUUACGACCAGGGCUACACACGUGCUACAAUGGCGCAUACAAAGAGAAGCGACCUCGCGAGAGCAAGCGGACCUCAUAAAGUGCGUCGUAGUCCGGAUUGGAGUCUGCAACUCGACUCCAUGAAGUCGGAAUCGCUAGUAAUCGUGGAUCAGAAUGCCACGGUGAAUACGUUCCCGGGCCUUGUACACACCGCCCGUCACACCAUGGGAGUGGGUUGCAAAAGAAGUAGGUAGCUUAACCUUCGGGAGGGCGCUUACCACUUUGUGAUUCAUGACUGGGGUGAAGUCGUAACAAGGUAACCGUAGGGGAACCUGCGGUUG
Molecule: ribosomal RNA, 650 nt
Filed under: Salmonella enterica subsp. enterica
Lineage: Bacteria; Pseudomonadati; Pseudomonadota; Gammaproteobacteria; Enterobacterales; Enterobacteriaceae
Also listed under: 1 other name
Description: bacterial SSU rRNA
Rfam family: Bacterial small subunit ribosomal RNA
Source: RNAcentral